This 254-nucleotide ribosomal RNA is filed under the name uncultured bacterium. Its description in RNAcentral is "partial 16S ribosomal RNA". It matches the Rfam family "Bacterial small subunit ribosomal RNA", at positions 524 to 777 of the family's 1533-position model. The record is from RNAcentral.
UACAGAGGUCUCAAGCGUUGUUCGGAUUCAUUGGGCGUAAAGGGUGCGUAGGUGGCGGGGUAAGUUGGAUGUGAAAUCCCGGGGCUCAACCCCGGAACUGCAUUCAAUACUGCCUUGCUAGAGUACUGGAGAGGAGAUUGGAAUUUACGGUGUAGCAGUGAAAUGCGUAGAUAUCGUAAGGAAGACCAGUGGCGAAGGCGGAUCUCUGGACAGUUACUGACACUGAGGCACGAAGGCCAGGGGAGCAAACGGGG